RNAcentral lists this transfer RNA (78 nucleotides) under Parcubacteria group bacterium. RNAcentral describes it as "tRNA-Trp". It matches the Rfam family "tRNA". From Rfam's summary of the family: Transfer RNA (tRNA) molecules are approximately 80 nucleotides in length. The record is from RNAcentral.
AGGGAGGUAGCUCAAAAAGGCUAGAGCGCUGGCCUCCAAAGCCAGAGGAUGAAGGUUCAAAUCCUUCCCUCCCUGCCA